UUUUUUUUUUUUUUUAAUGGAAGGGGCCGCCUAGCGGGCGGGAGCGCGUGCGUGGGAGAUGGUAGGUCGCCGUGACCUCGCAUCUAAGCUGUGGGUUGGUUUGAUUGCACUCGGCAGAGCCACGACUCUCGGGGCGCGAAGAUCCGAGCUCCCAACUCCCUGCUCCCGGCCACGUGAGAGGCUGGCUGGGUUCCCAGUCUGCGAGCCGAGUGGGAUUUCUCCCAGAAAUAAUUGGAACAUUGAUAAUAAAAAAAAAAACGAACAACCUUGAUAUAGAUUGGAAAGAAGUGAGCAGUUUGGGAAGAUGAUAAUCAUGCUUGGAAAUGAGUGACACAACAGCCAUUCCUGAAGAUGAGGAGACUGAGGUACAGACUGGUUGAACAACAUGCCCAGCACUGAACCCAGUUGGAACAUUUCCUUCUUUUUUUCAAGCCCACAGACCAUGAGAAUGAAGAAGUCUGGUCUCUAGCCCACUGGAGGACAAGGGAUCACAUUGACAGAGAUGAAUUCUUCCAUCUGAGGCCCCCUAUACCCACUGGCCAAUAGCUGGCACUGACCAGAUACGUGUGGGAAGUCGUCAUAGGUCAUCUAGUCCCCGAUGAGCCACCAAAUGGUGGCAGCCAUAUAACUGAGGCCAGGCAAGACCAGUGUUUCUUCUGCUGAUCCCAGCCCAAGUGGCUACCUCCCAGAAAUGUGAGCAAAUAAAAUGGCUGUUUUUUUAAG
Molecule: long non-coding RNA, 723 nt
Organism: Manis javanica (Malayan pangolin)
Lineage: Eukaryota; Metazoa; Chordata; Mammalia; Pholidota; Manidae
Source: RefSeq, a predicted model, not a curated record